CCCGCUGAACUUAAGCAUAUCAAUAAGCGGAGGAAAAGAAACUAACAAGGAUUCCCCUAGUAACUGCGAGUGAAGCGGGAUGAGCUCAAAUUUUGAAUCUGGCGGUCUUUGGCCGUCCGAGUUGUAAUCUAGAGAAGCGUCUUCCGCGCUGGACCGUGUACAAGUCUCCUGGAAGGGAGCGUCAUAGAGGGUGAGAAUCCCGUCUUUGACAUGGACUACCAGUGCUAUGUGAUGCGCUCUCGACGAGUCGAGUUGUUUGGGAAUGCAGCUCAAAAUGGGUGGUAAACUCCAUCUAAAGCUAAAUACAGGCGAGAGACCGAUAGCGAACAAGUACCGUGAGGGAAAGAUGAAAAGCACUUUGGAAAGAGAGUUAAACAGUACGUGAAAUUGCUGAAAGGGAAACGCUUGAUGUCAGUCGCGUCGGCCAGGGAUCAACCUUGCUUCUUUGCUGGGUGCAUUUCCUGGUCAACGGGUCAGCAUCAGUUUCGCUCGCCGUACAAUGGCAAAGGGAACGUGGCACUCUUCGGAGUGUGUUAUAGCCUUUCGUCGUAUGCGGUGGUUGGGACUGAGGAACUCGGCACGACUUCGGUCUGUGUCUAGGAUGCUGGCAUAAUGGCCUUAAGCGACCCGUCUUGAAACACGG
RNAcentral lists this ribosomal RNA (643 nucleotides) under uncultured fungus. RNAcentral describes it as "eukaryotic LSU rRNA". It matches the Rfam family "Eukaryotic large subunit ribosomal RNA", at positions 24 to 664 of the family's 3401-position model. Lineage: Eukaryota; Fungi. The record is from RNAcentral.